Molecule: ribosomal RNA, 381 nt
Filed under: uncultured bacterium
Lineage: Bacteria
Description: bacterial SSU rRNA
Rfam family: Bacterial small subunit ribosomal RNA
Source: RNAcentral
AUUGAACGCUGGCGGCAUGCCUUACACAUGCAAGUCGAACGGUAACGCGGGGCAACCUGGCGACGAGUGGCGAACGGGUGAGUAAUACAUCGGAACGUGCCCAGUAGUGGGGGAUAGCCCGGCGAAAGCCGGAUUAAUACCGCAUACGACCUACGGGUGAAAGCGGGGGAUCGCAAGACCUUGCGCCAUUGGAGCGGCCGAUGUCAGAUUAGGUUGUUGGUGGGGUAAAGGCCUACCAAGCCGACGAUCUGUAGCUGGUCUGAGAGGACGACCAGCCACACUGGGACUGAGACACGGCCCAGACUCCUACGGGAGGCAGCAGUGGGGAAUUUUUGGACAAUGGGCGCAAGCCUGAUCCAGCCAUGCCGCGUGCGGGAAGAA